RNAcentral lists this long non-coding RNA (1692 nucleotides) under Homo sapiens (human). RNAcentral describes it as "PREDICTED lncRNA (TCONS_00126482)". The record is from RNAcentral. Lineage: Eukaryota; Metazoa; Chordata; Mammalia; Primates; Hominidae.
GCGGGAUCGGUUCCCAUCAUCCAAUACCUCCCACCAGACUCCACUUCCAUCAUUGGAGGUCACAUUUCAACUAAGAUUUGGAGGGGACCGUAUCCUAACUAUAUUAACUUCCAAUUUUCAUCGAAAGCCCACCUGUCUAAGAAGAGCUCCUAGACAUUCCCUUUCCCCUUCAACUUGGAGGAAUUGGGAAUGACAAAGAGAAAUUAAUCAAAAGAAGAAUUAAUCUCUCCAAUCAGCCUUGGCAUUUUCUUUCUAUCUUUGAUAUGUUGUUUUUUACAGUGUCUUGGUUUUCAGAAUAAGCUGUUUGUAACUACUUCCUCCACUAUAUUGUGAGCCUCUGGAGGGCAAGCUUUGAUAGAUUGACUUUGCCUCUUUUACUGCGUGCAUAGUGCCAUCUUGUGGCCAUAAAGCAUAUAACACUCAUAGUUAUGCCACAGUGCUUCUGUUCCAUCUUAUUUCUGUAGUCCAGAGGAUCUCUUAAGUGUAGAAACACAUGGAUUAUUACUAGCCAAGGCCAUCACUGGCCAAGCCCAUCUAAAAGCCAGAGGCAGCAAGCAGUGCCCGUUGAAACAUCCAUAAAAGGUGAUAUUUGGUUAGCAACGUCCUACUGUAGACAUUUUGAUGUGGUGGUGAUUGGAAUAUGGUCUGCAGAGAUCAACCAGAAUUAGCUCCAUGUGCCACUGGGAGUGGGAACUGAAGUCACGCAGGAAUAAACCAGUCUUCAUGCUUUAGGAUGUUCUGAUGUGCCAUUGUCGUGAAAUCUUCAUUCAUGAGACAUUCCAGUUUACCGGCAGUGUCGACUAGAAUAUGCUACAGCCCCCAAAAUACGUUUUUAGUAUAAGGAUUAUUUUGAGCUGAUUAUUUUGAGAAAUAGCAGACGCAGGAGAAACUCUGAAGACAGAACGUAAGUUUACCUUUUGUAAAGGGAUUUACAUUUAUAAGGGAAAUGUCCAUUUGUAAGGCUGUCUCCCUCCGUACCGGAAACACGGGAUGACUAUAAGUGACAAAGAGAUUAAUUUAAAUCUGCAUGACAAAUCUUACUCAAGCUUACCAGACUUUUCCUGGUCACCUUCCCAUAACUUGUUUCCCCUGCCCAGAAGCCCCUAAUCCCCUUUCCUAUGUUUUAGCCCAAGUUGGUAUAUUAUUAAAUUAAACUGGGCCUGAGGCUGCCUCCAUACCUUGAGUCCCCACAUGACGAACUGCAGCCUAGCUUGGUACAUAAAUGAACUGAAAGCCUAAUUUAGGAGUAUAUUUUUGUAAUACAUAGCUGAGCGUCAAUCAAUCACAGCAGCUGAGUUUCAGCCAGUCACUGGCUGCCAACUGAUCAGCCCACCUCCAAAUAAGGCAAAGGCUCAGCUGUAACCAAUCAAGCAGCUUCCCUACCUCACUUCCAUUUUCUGUCUAUGAAUACGGCCUGCUCAUUAUUGUAGAAUAGAGUUCUCCGAACCUUUUCUAGUUCCAGGGCAGCCCAAUUUUGUGAACCUUUCUUUGCUUAAGUAAACUGUUAGAUUUAAUUUGUUUAAAGCUCUUCUUUUAACAUUUUACACCCAAGUUCUAACCACCCCUUUGAGCUGCUCAUUCCAGUUACUCCAAAGCAUGCAUGAGAUACACAUGUUAACAGACUAAUGUUUGUUUUUCUCUUGUUAAUCUGUGUUUUGUUACAGAGCCCCAGCUGGGGACCUAGAAGAAAAU